GGGGUAUACGAGAUAUGAGGUAGGGUACUGGCAACAGUGCUCUGCUGAAAUAUUUUCACCCAUGUCUUUUGCGCACUUUUUGUUUCCUGGGCGAGUUUGCUCGCCACCAGGACCCCCAUAUGAACCUUUUUUGUUUUUGCACUCAGCGUCAGUACAAUAAUUUAAUCUAUUAAAACUUUCAACAACGGAUCUCUUGGUUCUGGCAUCGAUGAAGAACGCAGCGAAAUGCGAUACGUAGUGUGAAUUGCAGAAUUCAGUGAAUCAUCGAAUCUUUGAACGCACAUUGCGCCCUUUGGUAUUCCAAAGGGCAUGCCUGUUCGAGCGUCAUUUGUACCCUCAAGCUUUGCUUGGUGUUGGGCGUCUUAUUGUCUCUCCGUCUCGGGGAGACUCGCCUUAAAACAAUUGGCAGCCGGCCUACUGGUUUCGGAGCGCAGCACAAAUUUGCGCUUGCAAUCAGCCAAGGGCGGCAUCCAUGAAGCCUUUUUUCUCUCACAUUUUGACCUCGGAUCAGGUAGGGAUACCCGCUGAACUUAAGCAUAUCAAAAGGCCGGGAAGGAA
Molecule: ribosomal RNA, 558 nt
Filed under: [Setosphaeria] turcica f. sp. sorghi
Lineage: Eukaryota; Fungi; Ascomycota; Dothideomycetes; Pleosporales; Pleosporaceae
Description: eukaryotic LSU rRNA
Rfam family: 5.8S ribosomal RNA (bases 174-327)
Source: RNAcentral